This 748-nucleotide ribosomal RNA is filed under the name uncultured cyanobacterium. Its description in RNAcentral is "bacterial SSU rRNA". It matches the Rfam family "Bacterial small subunit ribosomal RNA", at positions 8 to 796 of the family's 1533-position model. The record is from RNAcentral. Lineage: Bacteria; Bacillati; Cyanobacteriota.
AGAGUUUGAUCAUGGCUCAGGAUGAACGCUGGCGGUCUGCUUAACACAUGCAAGUCGAACGGGCUCUUUCGGGAGCUAGUGGCGGACGGGUGAGUAACGCGUGAGAAUCUGCCAAAAGGACUGGGACAACCACUGGAAACGGUGGCUAAUACCAGAUGUGCCGCAACGUAAAAGAGGAAACUCGCCUUUUGAGGAGCUCGCGUCUGAUUAGCUAGUUGGUGAGGUAAAAGCUCACCAAGGCAACGAUCAGUAGCUGGUCUGAGAGGACGACCAACCGCACUGGGACUGAGACACGGCCCAGACUCCUACGGGAGGCAGCAGUGGGGAAUUUUCCGCAAUGGGCGAAAGCCUGACGGAGCAAGACCGCGUGAGGGAGGAAGGCUCUUGGGUCGUAAACCUCUUUUGUCAGGGAAGAACACAAUGACGGUACCUGACGAAUCAGCAUCGGCUAACUCCGUGCCAGCAGCCGCGGUAAUACGGAGGAUGCAAGCGUUAUCCGGAAUUAUUGGGCGUAAAGCGUCCGUAGAUGGUUUUGCCAGUCGGCUGUCAAAGCACAGGGCUUAACCCUGCAAAGGCAGUGGAAACUACAAGACUAGAGUGCAGUAGGGGCAGAGGGAAUUCCCAGUGUAGCGGUGAAAUGCGUAGAGAUUGGGAAGAACACCCGUGGCGAAAGCGCUCUGCUGGACUGCAACUGACAUUGAGGGACGAAAGCUAGGGGAGCGAAUGGGAUUAGAUACCCCCGUAGUCC